GUCUAUGGCCAUGCCACCCUGAACAUGCCCAAUUUCAUCUGAUCUCAGAAGCUAAGCAGGCUCAGGCCUGGUUAGUACUUGGAUGGGAGACCACCUAGGAAGACCUAGGUGCUGUAGGCA
RNAcentral lists this ribosomal RNA (120 nucleotides) under Pteropus alecto (black flying fox). Lineage: Eukaryota; Metazoa; Chordata; Mammalia; Chiroptera; Pteropodidae. The record is from RNAcentral.